This 494-nucleotide ribosomal RNA is filed under the name Daphnia pusilla. RNAcentral's name for it is "partial 16S ribosomal RNA". It matches the Rfam family "Bacterial large subunit ribosomal RNA", at positions 1829 to 2589 of the family's 2925-position model. Lineage: Eukaryota; Metazoa; Arthropoda; Branchiopoda; Diplostraca; Daphniidae. The record is from RNAcentral.
CUCCUCUUGGUAAAUAAGAGGUACCAUCUGCCCAAUGCAACAUUUGUAAAUGGCCGCAGUAUUCUGACUGUGCUAAGGUAGCAUAAUCAUUAGUCUUUUAAUUGAAGGCUGGUAUGAAUGAUGAGACGAGAAAAAAGCUGUCUCAAGAAUAUUUUUUUGAAUUUUAUUUUUAGGUGAAAAAGCCUAAAUAAUUUUGAAGGACGAUCAGACCCUUUGGAGCUUUAUUUAUUCAUAAGUUUUAAUCAAUUUUAAAUAAUUAAAUUUAUGAAUAAAUUUUGUUGGGGCGACAGAGAGUUGAAAAUAACACUCUCUUUUUUAAACAAAAAUAAUUGAAUAAUUGAUCCUUAAUGAGAGAUUAAAAGACUAAGUUACCCUAGGGAUAACAGCGUAAUCUUUCUGGAGAGUUCUAAUCGAUAGAAAGGUUUGCGACCUCGAUGUUGGAUUAAGAGAUUGGCAAGGUGUAGAAGUUUUGCUGGAGAGUGCUGUUCGACUUU